RNAcentral lists this ribosomal RNA (497 nucleotides) under uncultured bacterium. RNAcentral describes it as "partial 16S ribosomal RNA". It matches the Rfam family "Bacterial small subunit ribosomal RNA", at positions 28 to 507 of the family's 1533-position model. The record is from RNAcentral.
GAUGAACGCUGGCGGCGUGCCUAAUACAUGCAAGUCGAGCGAACGGACGAGAAGCUUGCUUCUCUGAUGUUAGCGGCGGACGGGUGAGUAACACGUGGAUAACCUACCUAUAAGACUGGGAUAACUUCGGGAAACCGGAGCUAAUACCGGAUAAUAUUUUGAACCGCAUGGUUCAAAAGUGAAAGACGGUCUUGCUGUCACUUAUAGAUGGAUCCGCGCUGCAUUAGCUAGUUGGUAAGGUAACGGCUUACCAAGGCAACGAUGCAUAGCCGACCUGAGAGGGUGGUCGGCCACACGGGAAGUGCGCCGGGGCCCACACACCUAGGGGGGGGCGCAGGAGGGAAUCGUCCGCAAGGGGGGAAGGCCGGACGGAGCAGAGCGGGGGGAGGGAUGAUGGUCUUGGGACCUAAAAACUUUUUUUUGAGGAAAAAACAUAGGUGAAAUUACCUGUGCUCAUCUUGACGUUACCUAAUAAAAAAGCCCCGGCUAACUCCGUG